GACGAACGCUGGCGGCGUGCUUAACACAUGCAAGUCGAACGGUGAAGCGCCUUCCUUUUUGGUGGGUGUGGAUGAGUGGCGAACGGGUGAGUAACACGUGAGUAACCUGCCCCCUUCUUCUGGAUAACCGCAUGAAAGUGUGGCUAAUACGGGAUAUUCUGGGUCUGUCGCAUGAUGGGUCUGGGAAAGAUAUUGUUUCGGUGGGGGAUGGGCUCGCGGCCUAUCAGCUUGUUGGUGGGGUGAUGGCCUACCAAGGCGGUGACGGGUAGCCGGCCUGAGAGGGUGGACGGUCGCACUGGGGCUGGGACACGGCCCAGACUCCUACGGGAGGCAGCAGUGGGGAGUAGGGCACAAUGGGCGCAAGCCUGAUGCAGCGACGCCGCGUGAGGGAUGGAGGCCUUCGGGUUGUGAACCUCUUUCGCCAGUGAAGCAUGCCUGCCUCGUUUGUGGGUGGGUUGACGGUAGCUGGAUAAGAAGCGCCGGCUAACUACGUG
Molecule: ribosomal RNA, 494 nt
Filed under: uncultured bacterium
Lineage: Bacteria
Description: partial 16S ribosomal RNA
Rfam family: Bacterial small subunit ribosomal RNA
Source: RNAcentral